AUACUUACCUGGCAGGGGAGAUACCAUGAUCACGAAGGUGGUUUUCCCAGGGCGAGGUUUAUUUAUUGCACUCCAGAUGUGCUGACCCCUGCGAUUUCCCCAAAUGCGGGAAACUCGACUGCAUAAUUUGUGGUAGUGGGGAACUUCGUUCGCGCUCUCCCCU
Molecule: small nuclear RNA, 163 nt
Filed under: Peromyscus maniculatus bairdii (prairie deer mouse)
Lineage: Eukaryota; Metazoa; Chordata; Mammalia; Rodentia; Cricetidae
Description: U1 spliceosomal RNA (ENSPEMG00000027835.1)
Rfam family: U1 spliceosomal RNA
About the family: U1 is a small nuclear RNA (snRNA) component of the spliceosome (involved in pre-mRNA splicing). Its 5' end forms complementary base pairs with the 5' splice junction, thus defining the 5' donor site of an intron.
Source: RNAcentral